RNAcentral lists this ribosomal RNA (253 nucleotides) under uncultured bacterium. RNAcentral describes it as "partial 16S ribosomal RNA". It matches the Rfam family "Bacterial small subunit ribosomal RNA", at positions 524 to 776 of the family's 1533-position model. The record is from RNAcentral.
UACAGAGGUCUCAAGCGUUGUUCGGAUUCAUUGGGUUUAGAGGGUGCGUAGGAGGGCAGGUAAGUCAGUGGUGAAAUCCUGGGGCUCAACCCCAGAACUGCCGUUGAUACUAUCUGUCUUGAAUAUGGUGGAGGUGAGCGGAAUAUGUCAUGUAGCGGUGAAAUGCUUAGAUAUGACAUAGAACACCAAUUGCGAAGGCAGCUCGCUACACCUAUAUUGACUCUGAGGCACGAAAGCGUGGGGAUCAAACAGG